UAACAAUUAUAACUGUAUAAAUAAGGAAUUAAAUCUAUAAAUAUCAGUUUAAAUAUAGACACGGUUACGUUUAUUGAUAUUAUAUUCCAGAAAGACAUUUAAACAUUUAUAGUGAUAUUCGCCAUUUUGGAACUGGACAAGCUUUAAAAGGUAUAGAUCUGUAUUUAAUUAUAUACACAAUCUACUUUGAUUAUCGAUUCUCCAUAUAUUUUCACAAUAUUACACUGUUAUUUCCUUCGUGGUCGCGUUCUCGAGUACAGCUAGGAGCUGCUAUAUGAGUUCACUUGCCAACCAAAUACAUUGAAAUAGAUUUUUGCAGCUUUUUCAAUUAAACGGCUGACGUGAUACUAUCCAGGAAGAGUUAAAGAUUGGCUCUGACAAAAUUAUAUGCAUUCUUUGUACACUGCAGGGGCGGAUCCAGGUGCAGGGUUUUGGGGGUUGGAACCCCUUUUUUGAACGAUCAAUGCAUUUGAAUGGGGACAUACAUGUAUAGUUGGACCACCCCCUUUCUCCUGGGUUUGGAUCCCCUUUAAAAUGACUAAAUCUGCCACUGCACCGUGACCUAUCCCGUUAAAAUUACUACCCAGCGAGUCGAUGUAGCUCAAAGCAGGAUUAAUUCAUUUUCAUAUUGUAAACAAAGUAAUGUCCAUUAUUUCCAUGUGCAACUUUGUCCAUAUUAUAUAGAUAUUUGUAUGAAAUUGUCUGGUUAAAAGGAGGUUAUUCGAGGUCAUAUAUACAUGGACAAUUUUUUAUUACUGUUGAUACUAAAGUAUGUCCUCCAAGGGAAAAAUACUAUGAAAAAUAUUCGGCAGGUAUUUAUGUUAAUGAGACAGCAAUCCAACAACAAAUAUUACCGAAAUGCAUCUGAUAGGCAAUAUCCAGUCUUGAAAAAAGACGGUGUUAUACAAUAUGUCAAGCUGUAAAUAAUAGUGUAAUACUUACACUUUAAAGUACAAUGUAGUACAGCCAAAGAAUGGUACACUUGACCAAUAUUAUCUUAUAUCUAUACUGUUUAUGUACGUACGACAGAAAUUACUGAUCAAAACUGAAUGGGGAUCAAGUAAAUGAAAUAUAUCAAAUAGAGAGGCAUCCAACUCGAUAAAACCUUUAGUACAUGAUAGACAACCGAAAUUAAAACCUUUCUUAAAUAAUUUCUAUACAGUUCCAAUCUAAUGAAAAUAUAUAGAACUCUGAUUUCAUCCGUAUGAAAUAAGAGUUCUAUAUUGAUUUUAAUUAGAUUGUAUAUAGUUCACGUUGUGAAAUAUUCUCAAACUACAAAACUGAAUGUUUGCAUAAUAAUGUCAUUUGCAGUCUUAGAACUCUUAUUAAAGAUAAAAAAGUUUUGUUUUUUUAGUGAGGAAAUAUAAUGGAUUCCAAUGGGUUGCUGUACAGGGGUUUGCUGCUACUUCUGAAACUUAUUUUAGCCUUUUUCGCUGUUUUAGCUCUGUGCUAUAUUUUUAUUAUCGGUAAGUGCACCCAGACAUAGAAAAAAUGCAAUGUAAUUAUAAUGUAAGACUCUUGCGACACAUGGAUUUUAAGGAGAUUUGGGAAUACGAGACAAUGAGGUACUACGUAUAGUUUCACCCAAACAACCUAAAAAUACUUAACACAUAAAAACCUGGAAGUAACCAUAUGACCUUUAUGGAUGGUCAAUCUUUCGUACAGCAAAUAAUAUUUUAUGUUAUGACAAAUCAUGUCACCACUAUAUUGAACUACAUUUGGGUUUUGAAAAUGUACCAUCGACUCGUAAAAACAACUAAAAAACAUAGAAUGAUCAAAUAUUGAUGUGAUGAAAGCACCGAUGGUCACCCCUAUAUGAUGAAAUUGAUAAUAAAUACUAUAUUUACAUUAAUAAAGCAAUCACGUGAUGGUCAGUAGUUAAUUUGUACCUUUGAAAUAUGCCAAAUAGAAUCAUAAUUGACUGAAUUUUUGAGAGAACUAAUAGUAAAUGUGUGUGUGUUUUUAUUUUUAUUUUAAUAGAAUAAUUCCAAAGACCAGGAAGGGGAAUAGGUCAUUAUAUAUUAUUUCUAUCUUCAAGCAUCUGCAGACAUAAAACUAUAUAUCGACAAUACCGUGUCAUGCAGUGCUCAUGUACAAUCCGUUUUCUUUUGCAGUUACCAGAAAAUGAUUGAAAUAAAUGAACUAGAAAAGCAAAGACUACAGUUGUUGAAAUCCACGUGAUCACUGCAAUAUUGUGCUUGCUGCUGGAGAUUCAUAUAGCUUGAAGAAAAAACACUGAAACAAUUGUUACAUGAUAAUAUAUGCUACAAAAAAGAACUUGUUUUAAAUACUCUUUAUUUGAGUCAGGUGAAAUAAAUUGUUCUUGGAAAUAUUUCUUUUGUAUUUAUAGUAUCAUCUCAUUUCUAUACAACAACAAGCUAGUAUUGAUUUUGCAGCAAAACAAUGUAUUCUUAACAACG
This 2420-nucleotide long non-coding RNA is filed under the name Mytilus galloprovincialis (Mediterranean mussel). The record is from RNAcentral. Lineage: Eukaryota; Metazoa; Mollusca; Bivalvia; Mytilida; Mytilidae.